GAUGAACGCUGGCGGCGUGCCUAAUACAUGCAAGUCGAGCGAACGAAGGAGAAGCUUGCUUCUCUUAGAUGAGCGGCGGACGGGUGAGUAACACGUGGGUAACCUACCUAUAAGACUUGGAUAACUGCGUGAAACCGUAGCUAAUACCGGAUAAUAUUUGUAACCGCAUUGUUCAAAAGUGAAAGGCUAUCUUGCUGUCACGUGUAGGUCUAUCCGCCCUGCAGUAUGUAGUUGGUAAGGUAACGGCUUACCAAGGCAACGCUGCAUAGCCGACCUGAGGGGGUGAUCGGCCAGAUCGGAAUUGAGACACGGUACAGCCUACUACGGGAGGCAGCAGUAGGGAAUCUUACGCAAUGGGAGAAAGCCUGACGGAGCACCGCGGCGUGAGUGAUGAAGUUCUUCGGAUCGUAAAACUCUGCUAUUAGGGAAGAAAAGAUGUGUAAGUAACUGUGCACAUCUUGACGGUACCUAAUCAGAAAGCCCCGGCUAACUACGUG
Molecule: ribosomal RNA, 497 nt
Filed under: uncultured bacterium
Lineage: Bacteria
Description: partial 16S ribosomal RNA
Rfam family: Bacterial small subunit ribosomal RNA
Source: RNAcentral